Molecule: non-coding RNA, 76 nt
Filed under: Petrocella atlantisensis
Lineage: Bacteria; Bacillati; Bacillota; Clostridia; Lachnospirales; Vallitaleaceae
Source: RNAcentral
UUGAGCCGUAUUAGGUGAAAGUCUCACGUACGGUUCUUAGGGGAGAAAGGAGAGCAAUCUCCCUGACUUACCAGAC